AUAUUGGACAAUGGGCGCAAGCCUGAUCCAGCCAUGCCGCGUGUGUGAAGAAGGCCUUUUGGGUGUAAAGCACUUUAAGCGAGGAGGAGGCUACCGAGAUUAAUACUUUUGGAUAGUGGACGUUACUCGCAGAAUCAGCACCGGCUAACUCUGUGCCAGCAGCCGCGGUAAUACAGAGGGUGCGAGCGUUAAUCGGAUUUACUGGGCGUAAAGCGUGCGUAGGCGGCUUCUUAAGUCGAAUGUGAAAUCCCUGAGCUUAACUUAGGAAUUGCAUACGAUACUGGGAAGCUAGAGGAUGGGAGAGGAUGGUAGAAUUCCAGGUGUAGCGGUAAAAUGCGUAGAGAUCUGGAGGAAUACCGAUGGCGAAGGCAGCCAUCUGGCCUAAUACUGACGCUGAGGUACGAAAGCAUGGGGAGCAAAC
RNAcentral lists this ribosomal RNA (421 nucleotides) under uncultured bacterium. RNAcentral describes it as "bacterial SSU rRNA". It matches the Rfam family "Bacterial small subunit ribosomal RNA", at positions 361 to 773 of the family's 1533-position model. The record is from RNAcentral.